Molecule: long non-coding RNA, 1612 nt
Filed under: Cinara cedri
Lineage: Eukaryota; Metazoa; Arthropoda; Insecta; Hemiptera; Aphididae
Source: RNAcentral
AGAUGAUAUGUACGCCGACAUGAUUUUUGUGGUCAGUAUGCGAUAAGCGUACACAUUUCGCAAACAGGAAGUAAUGUAUGCAAAUUAAAUAAAUCGUUAUUUUAUUAUUGGAUAGUUAGCGUCACUGUAUUAUCACUCCAUGAUAGUUAACGUUGAGUAAAAAAAAAAACGACAAUUUUUAUUUACAAUAGUUUAUGAAUAGUACGAAUAUAUUAUCUGUUUUAUUUCAACAUUAAAGUGAGAAUUAUAUCAUUCGGAUAUUUUUCGCGUUGCUAUAGUUUAGAUUCUGAGCGGAACUAGGAAUGACGUAAGUAUUGGUCUUGCAAUUAUAUUUUUUUAGUUAAAUAACUUUCAACUUAUCAGAAACCUUGCUCCGAUUUUUAAGUGUAGCAUCUUGUCUGAAAAGAAAUCUAUUAUGGUACUAAAGAGAGCUUUAUUUUUAAUUUUUCUAAUGGGAUUUCAUAAUAAAUAGGAAAAACCAAGAAAAUUAUGAAAUUUAUUAUUUUUAAUUUUUUUUUUUAUCGUGAUUCAGUUAAAAAUAUUCGUAGGGACUUGAAAUUUGAACAGAACACUUAUAUUUGAACCUAAAUUUCGUAUUCGUUUUUCAAUUGACCAUUAAAUUUAGAAAUUUUAUAGAACUGAAGUAAGUAGGUAAAAUUGAUAUAAAAUUUCCCAACUAAUAAAAUUAGAUAUUGAUAAUAAAAUUAUAUAUUAAACUGUUUUAUAUUUAAAUAUUUUUCAGUUACUAACAAGGGCGUUUUUUUGGUGGGAGCAGGAUGUGCGAUUACACCCUUUACUUUUAAAAUAGUCCCAACUGGCCUGCUUAAAUAAUGUACCAUUUUUUAUAUAGUUAAAAUAAAAUAAUAUUUUUAUAUUAAAAAUAUUGGUAUUUUACUAUCAAUAAAUAAAUAUCGUGAAUAAUGUGUAUUAUAUUUACACAAUUUCAUGGGCGAUGAUUAAAUGCUAAAUGGUCUUAUGGUGCUAAAUAUUGAAAAAUAAGAAGUAAAUAAUUUCGAUUUAGAAAAAAUUGUAGAUGUAUUUGUUGGACUUAAAAAUCGCCAAUACCUAUAAUCUCUUAUACGAAUAUAAAUAAUUUGUUUUUUUUUUUUUUUUACUAGAGCUUUUACUUGUGCGAAAGUUAUACUUAACAAUGUACACAUAUUGUGUGCUUUUUUUUUAUGUAACAUUUCUCAUCUUCAAUAUUUUAUAUUUGUAUGCAUUAAUCAUUGGUUUUUACAGGUACAAAUGACUGAACGUAAAAGUCUGAAUAAAGCGCGCUAUAAGCAAUUUGUCAACAUUUCUGUGAACUUAUCGUAGUUUUAUUGAUUUGAUAAAAUAAAAAAAGGGUCUCAUAUUAUGAAAUAUUGAUUAAUUAGGUAAUCGAUUAUAAUUAUUAUAUAUUUGAUAUCAAAUAUUAAAUUUAUUGCAUUUUUAAAAAAUAGGUUUUCACCUGAUAAUUUUCGAUUCAGAACAGUGUGCAGAUCAACGUUAACAGAUUGUCUCAAAAUUUUCUAUAGUUCAUUAAAUAUUCAUGUACACAAAUUUAAAAGGUGAGACUGUAAAAUAUUAGAUUGGAAAAUAAGGGAAACUGUAGGUAUACAUAUAUACACAC